Molecule: transfer RNA, 66 nt
Filed under: Gonatocerus sp. ZCS-2018
Lineage: Eukaryota; Metazoa; Arthropoda; Insecta; Hymenoptera; Mymaridae
Description: tRNA-Val
Source: RNAcentral
AAAAUUUUAGUUUAAAUUUAAAACAUUUUAUUUACAUUAAAAUAAUAAUUUUUUAAUUAAAUUUUA